AUGAGCACGACAUGGAGCUGGGGCACUUCCUGUACGAUCACAGUGAGAAGAAGCUGCAGUGUGUGGACUGCACCAAGGAACACAUCAACAGCAUCGAGGUCUCCUCACAGACGGUGCGUAGUGGGGCUCCUCUGCAGUCUAAAAUCAGCAUAAGACACGUGAACAUCACCACAGAUGUGGGGAGGAGUGGCCAGCUGUGGCUAUCCCUUCUAUGAGGGGCAAGGGAUGGUGGAAUGGUUUUGCUGCUCUAGCAAAGCUGUUGGGAGUUAGGCAUUGGGAGCAAAACCCCAUUGUGUCUCUGGGGCACUAGGGGUCCACAGCAAUGCCCAGCUUGCUAUGUCAAGGAGCCAACAUCCACCCACAGCCUAACAAACCAACAGACUGGCCUGUUCCUGAUCUCCUUUGGACCCACAAAACCCAUCUCAGAGGAUGCCAUGGUGUGUCCAAUGAUGCUCAUCUCCCUCCCUCUGCUUGCUGCACCUUUGCAGGAGGAUUGUGUUGCAGCCCAUUUGACAGACAACCUGACAUACACCUUCUGGGAGAGCAGCGGGCUCCCGGGGCAGCACUGGGUGCGGCUCAACAUGAAGAAAGGCGUCAUUGUCAAGAGGCUCUGGCUGACACUGGAUGGGCAGUCCAGCUCCUAUGUACCCAGGAGAGUGGCUGUGUAUGGGGGAACACCAAGCAGGCUGCAGCACCUGAGAACAGUCCUAAUUAACGAGUGAGUAAUGAGUGAGGAGCAGCCUAUGUCCAGCUUAUGCCAAACUCCUGAGCUGUCUCUGCAUCCUGAGCAAAUGUUAAGGAUGGGGCUGGGGUUGGUUCUGAGUGACUUGCCAGUGACAGUGGCUCUCCAAUGGUCAGAACUCCGUGAGUGCAGGCUAUAUCUGCUCCCACAAGUGUGGUGGUCCCUUGCUUCCAUGUGACAGUCAGGUCCCUUAAUCUCCUCUCCUGCUCCUCACCCAUGCUGCAGCAGCUGUUUUGCAGCGUGCUUCCUUCUGCUUGGUGACUUUGGUCUUUCUGCCUCUUCCUCCUCACUUCUGGAAACACAUGCCACUGCUGUCACCUUCCUGAGCAUCUCUGCUAUGCUGUAGCCAAGAGUGCUUCACCUCUCCAUCUUCACUCUGGCCCUGAGCACCCUUCUCAAGGCAGCCAGGGGCUUACACAGGAGUGCAAAGGUCUCCUUCGCCUUCCCCCAUACUUAUUUGAUGUUUUUUGGCUGAGAAGU
RNAcentral lists this long non-coding RNA (1222 nucleotides) under Cyanistes caeruleus (blue tit). RNAcentral describes it as "lncRNA (ENSCCEG00000019851.1)". The record is from RNAcentral. Lineage: Eukaryota; Metazoa; Chordata; Aves; Passeriformes; Paridae.